Molecule: long non-coding RNA, 1028 nt
Filed under: Setaria italica (foxtail millet)
Lineage: Eukaryota; Viridiplantae; Streptophyta; Magnoliopsida; Poales; Poaceae
Description: long non-coding RNA (SITA_LNC005517)
Source: RNAcentral
GUCGGAGUAGCUAGCCGAUGAAUUAGUAGCUGUAGUUCUUGACGAACAUGCCCUCCUUGGCCUCGGCGGCCUCGCCGUCGGAGGUGUACUUGCCGAGCUGCGCCAGCGAGUUGGCCUUGGCGCGCAGCAGCAGCGCGUCCUGCGCCGCCUUGACGUUCUCCGGCACGCCGCCCCACGUCUUGAGGCAGGUGUUCUGCAGCGCCCGCGCGUAGGAGAAGGACACGUGCCACGGGUUGGGCCCCUGGUUCAUGGCGUUGAGGUUCUGCGUCGCCUCCACCUCCGACUGCCCGCCGGAGAGGAACAUGAUGCCGGGGACGGAGGGCGGGAUGCGGCGGUGGAGGAGCUUCAGGGUGUACUCGGCGACCUGCUCCGGCGUGGCCCGGUCCUUAGCCUCGGCGCCCGGCGUCACCAUGGAUGGCUUGAGCAGGAUGCCCUCGAACAUGACGUUGUUCUCCGCCAUGGCGUAGAAGGUCUCGGCCCACACCUUCUGCGCCACCUCGAAGGUCCGCUCGAUGCCGUGCUCGCCGUCCAGCAGGAUCUCCGGCUCUACGAUCGGCACAAGUCCGUUGUCCUGCUCGGUCGAUUCCAUUCCAUCGGUGUUAGCUUUUAUUAAUUAGCUGGAUGAACUAUCUCCAUGGCUAGAAGCAAGCAAGAAGGCGUACCUGCGAGAUGGCGGCGUAGCGGGCGAGCCCCCAUGCGGCCUCCUUGACGGCGAGCUCGGAUGGCCCGUUGGGGAUGCUGACGACGGUGCGCCACUUGGCGAAUCGGGCGCCCUGCUGGUAGUAGGCGGCCUCGCGGGCGGCGAGGCCGUCGAGGCCCUGGCACCAGGACUCGUCGUUGGAGCCGGCGAGCGGGACGAGGCCCUUGUCGACCUUGAUCCCGGGCACGAUGCCCUGCUCGGUGAGGAUGUCGACGAUCCGGCGGCCGUCGACGGCGGACUGGUAGAGCGUCUCCUCGAAAAGGAUGGCGCCGGAGAUGUAGUUGCCCAGCCCCGGCGCGGUGACCAGCAGCGUCCUGUACGCCUGCCG